CCAUCCUAUCAUCAUUCUCAUCCCAAUCUUCCUCAGGUUUGGGAACUCGAAUGCUAUUAACCACGUGUGAUGGUUCUUGUGGUCCCUUGACUAUAACCCUCCACAAGGCAUAGUCUUGUGCUUGAAUGAAGAUUCUCAUUCUAGUCUUCCAAUAGGUAUAAUUUGUCCCAUUGAAGAGUAGAGGUCUAUUGGUUGCUUGCCCCUCGGCAGGAACAUUGUUAAAGGAUGUUGCCAUCUAGAUCUUUGGCUAAGACGGUUAGGUCUUUCAAGAAAUACACAGAGCACCUGCUCUGAUACCACUUGUUGCCCAGAGAUGGUCACCCAAGAGGGGGGUGAAUUGGGUGUUUUAAAAACUUUUGACUAAUUAAAAAUAAAACACACAAA
This 384-nucleotide long non-coding RNA is filed under the name Phoenix dactylifera (date palm). Its description in RNAcentral is "long non-coding RNA (PDAC_LNC017572)". Lineage: Eukaryota; Viridiplantae; Streptophyta; Magnoliopsida; Arecales; Arecaceae. The record is from RNAcentral.